UACGUAGGUCCCGAGCGUUGUCCGGAUUUAUUGGGCGUAAAGCGAGCGCAGGUGGUUUAUUAAGUCUGGUGUAAAAGGCAGUGGCUCAACCAUUGUGUGCAUUGGAAACUGGAGGACUUGAGUGCAGAAGGGGAGAGUGGAAUUCCAUGUGUAGCGGUGAAAUGCGUAGAUAUAUGGAGGAACACCGGUGGCGAAAGCGGCUCUCUGGUCUGUAACUGACGCUGAGGCUCGAAAGCGUGGGGAGCAAACAGG
Molecule: ribosomal RNA, 252 nt
Filed under: uncultured microorganism
Description: partial 16S ribosomal RNA
Rfam family: Bacterial small subunit ribosomal RNA
Source: RNAcentral